This 443-nucleotide ribosomal RNA is filed under the name uncultured Erysipelotrichaceae bacterium. Its description in RNAcentral is "bacterial SSU rRNA". It matches the Rfam family "Bacterial small subunit ribosomal RNA", at positions 936 to 1382 of the family's 1533-position model. The record is from RNAcentral. Lineage: Bacteria; Bacillati; Bacillota; Erysipelotrichia; Erysipelotrichales; Erysipelotrichaceae.
AGCAUGUGGUUUAAUUCGAAGCAACGCGAAGAACCUUACCAGGUCUUGACAUCCGAUGCUAUUUCUAGAGAUGAAAGUUACUUCGGUACAUCGGUGACAGGUGGUGCAUGGUUGUCGUCAGCUCGUGUCGUGAGAUGUUGGGUUAAGUCCCGCAACGAGCGCAACCCCUAUUGUUAGUUGCCAUCAUUCAGUUGGGCACUCUAGCGAGACUGCCGGUAAUAAACCGGAGGAAGGUGGGGAUGACGUCAAAUCAUCAUGCCCCUUAUGACCUGGGCUACACACGUGCUACAAUGGACGGUACAGAACGAUGCGAAACCGCGAGGCGAAGCAAAUCGGCGAAAACCGUUCGUAGUUCGGAUUGGAGUCUGAAACCCGACUCCAUGAAGUUGGAAUCGCUAGUAAUCGCGCAUCAGCACGGCGCGGUGAAUACGUUCCCGGGCCUU